RNAcentral lists this transfer RNA (73 nucleotides) under Dichanthelium oligosanthes. It matches the Rfam family "tRNA". Rfam says of the family: Transfer RNA (tRNA) molecules are approximately 80 nucleotides in length. Their secondary structure includes four short double-helical elements and three loops (D, anti-codon, and T loops). Lineage: Eukaryota; Viridiplantae; Streptophyta; Magnoliopsida; Poales; Poaceae. The record is from Rfam by way of RNAcentral.
GCGUCCAUGGCUAAAUGGUUAAAACAACCAAUUCAUAAUUAGUAAUUUUUUGGUUCAAUUCUUGCUGGAUGUA